Molecule: RNA transcript, 5632 nt
Organism: Clarias gariepinus (North African catfish)
Lineage: Eukaryota; Metazoa; Chordata; Actinopteri; Siluriformes; Clariidae
Gene: epha4l
Gene name: eph receptor A4, like
Exons: 18
Source: RefSeq, a predicted model, not a curated record
AGCGCGCGCGAUUUUCUAACAAAUAAACAAGAGAUAAAACAGACAGAGAGAGAAGAAAGAAGAGAGAGAGAGAAACUGGACCGAGAACAGAAGAGGAGAGUUUUGCACAUGGCCGGGAUUAUUUACUCCCUGACUUCAGUUUUAUUUGGGAUUUCCGCCGGUAUCAGCACCCUGCAACGGACUUACCCUGCAAACGAAGUUACAUUGCUGGAUUCAAGAUCCGUGCAGGGAGAACUGGCAUGGGUGGCGAGUCCGACGGAAGGAGGGUGGGAGGAGGUGAGCAUCAUGGACGAGAAGAACGUCCCGAUCCGGACGUACCAGGUGUGUAACGUGCUGGAGUCGAGUCAGAACAACUGGUUGCGCACGCACUGGAUCGAGCGCGGCCCGGCUCAGCGCAUCUACAUAGAGAUCAAGUUCACUUUGCGCGACUGCAACAGUCUACCCGGCGUCACGGGCGCAUGCAAGGAGACCUUUAACCUGUACUACCUGGAGUCAGAAUCAGGUGGAGAACAUGGCGUACCGGAGCGGCGCUUUGCUAAGAUCGACACCGUGGCGGCGGACGAGAGCUUCACGCAGGUGGACGUGGGGGACCGGGUCAUGAAGCUCAACACGGAGGUGCGCACUGUGGGCGCGCUCAGCCGCAGGGGCUUCUAUUUGGCCUUCCAGGAUGUGGGUGCAUGCGUGGCGCUUGUCUCCGUGCGAGUGUUCUAUAAGAGAUGUCCGCUGGUCAUCAGGAACCUGGCAAGCUUCCCCGAUACGGUAGCGGGUGCAGACGCUUCAGCGCUGGUGGAGGUGCGUGGGGCAUGUGUGGAGCACACAGAGGAGCGACAAGAGCCCAAAAUGUACUGCGGUGCCGAUGGGGAAUGGCUGGUGCCCAUCGGGACAUGUCUGUGUCAGCCUGGAUAUGAGGAGCGUGGUGGACAAUGUCAAGUCUGUAAGGUGGGAUAUUACCGGUCUUUGGCUACAGAUGGAUCCUGCACUAAGUGUCCUCCACACAGUUACUCCAUGAGGGAAGGCUCCACCGCAUGUGAGUGUGAUAAAGGCUACUACAGAGCAGAGACUGACUCCCCGGCCAUGGCCUGCACACGUCCUCCCUCGGCUCCUCAGCAUCUGAUCUCCAGUGUAAACGAGACGUCGGUUUUGUUGGAGUGGAGCUCUCCACUGUCCACUGGUGGCCGCCGCGACCUCACCUAUAGCGUGGUGUGUGAACGGUGUGUGUGGACGUCGACACGGUGCAUGCCAUGCGGUGACGGCGUGCGCUACUCUCCCCAGAGACUUAAUCUCAACGGCACUCGGUUGUCAGUGCACCAACUGCAGGCUCACACAAACUACACCUUCCACAUCUGGGCUGUGAACGGAGUGUCCAAACACAACCCGAAACCCGAGCAGGCGGCCUCCAUCACGCUUACAACCAACCAGGCUGCUCCGUCAACAGUGAUGUCCGUGCAGAGUAAGGACGUCACCCGCGACACUCUUACACUCUUCUGGCAGGAGCCUGAGAAACCCAAUGGAGUCAUACUGGAGUAUGAGGUCAAAUACUACGAAAAGGAGCAGAAUGAGAGAAGUUAUCGUAUUGUAAAGACCACGUCUCGAAACGUUAACAUAAAGGACCUGACACCAUUGACCUCCUAUGUGUUUCAUGUGCGCGCCCGCACUGCAGCCGGUUACGGAGAUUUUAGCGCGCCACUGGAUGUCAUGACUAACUCAGUUCCGUCUCCUGUGGUGGGAGAAGGCAUGAACCCCACCAUCCUUCUGGUGUGUGCUUGUAGCAGCGUUGUUCUGCUCCUCAUCCUUGCCUGUGCCUUCCUCAUCAGAAAGAGAAGGGCCAAAUACAGCAAAGCCAAGCAAGAUGAAGAGAAACACCAACCAGGAGUGAGGGUGUAUGUGGAUCCGUUUACUUACGAGGACCCGAACCAAGCCAUCCGAGAGUUCGCCAAGGAGAUUGAUGCCUCCUGCAUCAAGAUCGAGAAAGUCAUCGGCAUCGGUGAAUUCGGUGAGGUUUGCUGUGGUCGUCUGAAGUUCCCUACGAAGCGUGAGGUGUGUGUGGCAAUUAAGACUCUAAAGGCUGGGUUUACCGAGCAGCAGAGGCGGGACUUCCUGAGCGAGGCGAGCAUCAUGGGCCAAUUUGAUCAUCCCAAUAUUAUCCAUCUGGAGGGCGUGGUCACCCUGUGUAAGCCGAUUAUGAUCAUCACUGAAUACAUGGAGAACGGCUCCCUGGACGUGUUUCUCAGAAAGAACGAUGGGCGUUUCACAGUUAUUCAGCUGGUUGGUAUCCUGCGUGGCAUCGCUUCAGGGAUGAAAUAUUUAUCAGACAUGAGUUAUGUCCACAGAGACCUGGCAGCACGAAACAUCCUUGUCAACAGUAACCUGGUGUGCAAAGUGUCUGAUUUCGGCAUGUCCAGAGUGCUCGAGGACAAACCUGAAGGAGCUUAUACAACACGGGGAGGAAAGAUUCCGAUUCGCUGGACAGCCCCAGAAGCCAUCGCGUACAGGAAGUUCACGUCAGCCAGUGACGUGUGGAGUUAUGGCAUCGUCAUGUGGGAGGUGAUGUCAUAUGGAGAGCGGCCUUACUGGGACAUGAGUAACCAGGAUGUUAUAAAGGCAAUAGAGGAAGGGUACAGGUUACCAGCACCGAUGGAGUGUCCUGUAGCACUGCAUCAGCUCAUGUUGGAGUGCUGGCAGAGAGAGCGUAACGAGCGGCCCAAAUUCAGCCAGAUCGUCAACAUGCUGGACAAACUGAUCCGCAACCCGAACACGCUCAAGAGGAUGGGAGGAGAGACGAGCAAGUCACACACACAAAAGUCCCACCCAUCGGCACUAAACCACACCCCUUCCAUUGAGCCAUCUCCUUCAUUCAGUUCAGCAGACGAGUGGCUGCAAGUUAUCGGGCUGGAGAAGUAUAGAGAAAACUUUACUAAGGCUGGACACAGCAGCCUGGAAAGUAUAAUUCAUAUGAAUCAAGAAGAUUUGGCCAAAAUCGGAAUCUCCUCAAGUGCACAUCAGAAGAAAAUUCUGAGCAGUCUUCAGGAAAUCAUGUCCGGAAUACAGCAAGUAGAAGAGAUAAAGCUUCCUGUCUGAUCUGUGACUGCGCAACUAACCCAGCAUGAAUGGCAAAAUGGAACCGAGACGGAUAUAAUAUUUUAACUACUCACGCACUUUAAUUGUAUUCGGACAGUAGAAGACAGUGGAAUAGCUGCACUUUUGAUGGACUAGCCUUCAUCUCAUGGUCUUCCUGACUGAGGAUUUCUAAGAGGAAACACUAAAAACUGUUGAUCCUCUGCAAAAUAAUACUGAUCACUAGAUUCAGGAUUUCGUAUCGGAGUCCACUUUUAAACAGACUGUUUAAGUGACACUUGAAUGAGCAGUGAGAAUAUUUUUUGCUGUUUUUUUUUUUUUUGUUUGUCUUUUUUGAUGGAAGGGAAACAACUGUCCCCUUCAGGUCAUUUUUUGACCAGCGAUCUUCUUGAUGACAACUUUUCUUGGUCCUCAUAAUACAGUUUUUGUUUUUUUUUUCAACUCAGAUAUGUAUUUCAGGAACUGUUCAAUUCAAGUUGCCUGUGACUUUUGAUCUUUGGUGGGAAAAAAAAAAUUACUAUCUAAAUGGAACAAAGGUCCAAAGUUCAGAAACAUUUCAAUGAGGACUAGGAGCAGAUAUGCAGUGUACAGUGAACAUGUGAACCCAGCAUCAUGUCUUUAAUGAGGAUUCCUUCUGCCUGAAUAUAGAGAGACUGCAACGAGACUUCCUGAGAAACUCAUCAUUGUGUUACAUCAAUCAACCAUGUAUGUCUGUGUAGAAUAUGACAUUGGUUUGCCAAACAUAUCUUAAAGUCAACCCUUAAAGAGGGGAUGCUAAAUAAAUGUGUGUCAUCGGGUUGACCUUCAUUACACGUUUGCUACUCUUUGUUAGUGCUCCUCCAGAAGCUAAUGACAUUAUGCAUAGCAGGGAUCAAAACAAAGAGUAAUACAAAGUCCAUAUUUUAAACUCAAAAACAUGUAGAAAAAGAGCAAAAAUGUUUGUUACGCUCAGGCCAGGAAGUAGGAAAAAAAUAUACUGUAUAAGGAGAAGAAAUAAAAAUAUAAAUUAUGUGGUUUCAUCAAUUUGGAAUUACAAAAAUACAAUAUGGAAAUUUUAUUAAGGCUAUAUUCUAAGCUUGUAUUUUUUCACAUUUGGAGACAAGACAAAAAAAAAUAUCUAUUGAUGCCUAUGAUAUCUGGAAGUUAGUCAAACCAUAUUGCAACUGAUUGUAAUUAGGAUAUUUUCCUAUUGUUAAAUAUUUAUAAGAGAUGGGGAAAAAUCUACUUAGUUACAUAUUGCUAUGUUUUUGUGUAUGCCAAUUCAUGUAUCAUCACACUGCUUAAAUGUUUUUAUUAUUAUUAUUAUUAAUUUAUAUGCGGUGGUAAAAUAGUGCCAUUUCUCUAAUCCUACACAGUAAACACAUUUAUAAGCUUGUUUAGAGUUGUAACAAUAACUAAUAUAAAAUCGAGGCAUUUACAGUACAAAGUCUUGAUACUUAUAGAGUCACAAUACAAUACAAUCAAGUUGCCAUCUCGGUAUCGUGAUAAUAUUGUAAUGACUGGUCCCUGGUGAUUCCCCUCCUUAUUACAGUAUUUCAAUACUAAACCACAACAGGCUACUACAGGACAAUAAUCAAUAAUGAGUUAGUGUGAUGCAUUACACUCUGAAAUGUAAUGCUCUGAAACUAUUUUAUUUUAAGUGCUGUUUUGUGGUGAAUUAUGCUGACAUCCAAACUUCCUGACUCUUUUUAACUAAAACAAAACCUCACAAUAUUCAUGCUUAUUUUGUCUUUUGUUGAUUACAAUAUUUUUAAUCAGUUUAGCAUAUUAUAUAGAUCAUUCAUCAUACAAGUCCCUGUGCAUGAGCUGCUAUUAUAUAACUGAUGAAAAAAAUAUUGAUGUACAGUAAACAUGUGAUUUGCUUCACAGCUGUAAUUUGCAGAAUAAUCAGAGCUGCUCUUAUAGAAAAAUACUCAACACUCUAACACCCGAUCAGAUUCACGCAUAUCAAGUCUGGGAUUUCAGAAUAUUCAUUUUUCAUCUGUAAAAAAUACAUUGAUGCUUUUUGAAUGCAAGUAACUGAGGUAAUAAUGACAUUACAUAAACACAUAUCCCUGACAGUUACACUGUAAUAAUCUACUGGAUAAUACUACAAGAGCUCCAGAAAUGUACCGUAUACUCCAUAAUUGAGACAGACAGACAGAGACACAAACACAUAAAAAUCAUUUUAAAAGCCAAGACUGUCCAAAUAUGUUUGGAAAACAGUCUUUAAUCAUGUCAGCCAUCUCACCAAGCAUAAAAUCAUAAACCUUGGUUUCACAGACCAGGCCCCAGACUCCUAGACAUGGACUGUUGUUUUUUACAUCUGUGUCGUUCCUUCAUCUCUAUCCAAGAAGCCAACUCGCAUUUUGGGGACAUUUCACAGAUUAAUGUCCAUGCCGCCAUACUAAACCUGUUACACAGUGCAUUUUUUUUAUGUGUACAUAAAUUGUUAUAUUGUUUCACUAUAAUAUAAACAUAGCCAUUAAUGCCCUUAUUAAAUUUAUUUUAACCAUAUGCAAAUAAUAAAAUAAAAUCAUGAUCGAAAUGUUCUACAUGAUGUGACAUUUGUAUUAUA